This is a long non-coding RNA of Antechinus flavipes (yellow-footed antechinus), 998 nucleotides long. RefSeq lists it as uncharacterized. The transcript has 2 exons. Lineage: Eukaryota; Metazoa; Chordata; Mammalia; Dasyuromorphia; Dasyuridae. The record is from RefSeq and is a predicted model, not a curated record.
GGCAGGUCUGUUCUUGGUUAGACUAUUCUUUAGAAGUUUACUUCUGCCCUUUGUCUACUUUGUUUGCCUGCCAGCAAUGAUGUCUAAUGUCUCUACUUGGCAGCCCCCAUGGGUGAGGUCAUUUUUUAACAGCUAGCCUCUUUCCUUCAGCAUUGGAACUAGCUGGCUGUGACUCAAGGUUUAGGACUACGUCAGCUUGUGAGGACUUCUGCCUCGAAGAACAGGGCCUUCCCUUGGAGCUGGCAUGGCACUGGGCCAUUGUAAGUUGUCCUGACUUAUGUCUCACCACGGAACUCAGAUGACUCUGGAGAAGAGAGUGAGAAUGAUGACUCUGCACAAUUCUGCUUCAUUUAAACCCAGUUCACUCACAAGUCAAGGCAUCACCUUCCUGAUGUCAUUGGUUCUUUUUAAUAAUGAAGGAUGAACAACAACAAUAAUUGCAGUGUGGAGAGUGGAGGGAAAUUUUAGAAAUAAGUUUGAUACAUUCACUUGAACUUUAUUUAAAACCAUUUAUCUAAAUUUAUCUAAAACCAAUCUAGCAAACCACAAGCUAUCCUCUGCCUCCUGAUAUUCAUCCCAAGAAAGAGGAAGUUAUUAACUGUGUUUACAAGAUAUCAAAAUAAUACAACUGGGUAGGAAAAGAAAACUAAUACAAAUAAAAACUUUUUUUUUUGUUUCUGUAGAUAAAAGGACCAGUUAAUCAUUUUGAAACAUAAUAUGAAACUUAAUAAUAUUUCACCUUUCAAACAGUAAUUUUUAACAAGAUAAAGGAAUAGACUUUCUUUCAUAGCCAAAUAAAGCAGUAGCUAAAGACCAGAAUUGGCUUCAAAUCCAAAAUAACAUUCAUCUGUCCUUUACAGAAAAAUCUCUGAUUCUUUUCUCCUAUAAUUUCCUCUGCUUUAUUUUUUUUUAAGUUUAUAGGUAGUAGCAUUCAGUGGUACAGCUUGUCACUCUUCAUUUAUAUGAAUGAUGCUAUAAAAUUUUUAUUCAUGAAUUUA